This is a long non-coding RNA of Oncorhynchus keta (chum salmon), 750 nucleotides long. RefSeq lists it as uncharacterized. Lineage: Eukaryota; Metazoa; Chordata; Actinopteri; Salmoniformes; Salmonidae. The record is from RefSeq and is a predicted model, not a curated record. The transcript is spliced from 4 exons.
AUUAUCUUUCAAGGUGUUCAGACCUCAGUAGACAUUAUGUUUCAAGGUGAUCAGACCUCUGUAGACAUUAUCUUUCAAGGUGAUCAGACCUCAUUAGACAUUAUCUUUCAAGGUGAUCAGACCUCAGUAGACAUUAUGUUUCAAGGUGUUCAGACCUCAGUAGACAUUAUCUUUCAAGGUGUUCAGACCUCAGUAGACAUUAUGUUUCAAGGUGUUCAGACCUCAGUAGACAUUAUGUUUCAAGGUGAUCCGACCUCUGUAGACAUUAUCUUUCAAGGUGAUCAGACCUCAGUAGACAUUAUGUUUCAAGGUGUUCAGACCUCAGUAGACAUUAUCUUUCAAGGUGUUCAGACCUCAGUAGACAUUAUGUUUCAAGGUGUUCAGACCUCAGUAGACAUUAUCUUUCAAGGUGAUCAGACCUCUGUAGACAUUAUCUUUCAAGGUGUUCAGACCUCAGUAGACAUUAUCUUUCAAGGUGUUCAGACCUCAGUAGACAUUAUGUUUUAAGGUGUUCAGACCUCAUUAGACAUUAUGUUUUAAGGUGUUCAGACCUCAUUAGACAUUAUGUUUUAAGGUGUUCUAUGCAACAUGUUCUCAGCUAUUUAAUGUUGAAGCCAUCUUAAAUUAUAAUUUUCUUAGAACACCUUUAACAUCCUCAUCACUACAAACCCUGGUUUAACAUCCUCAUCACUACAAACCCUGGUUAAACAUCCUCAUCACUACAAACCCUGGUUUAACAUCCUCAUCACU